UUUACUGGUUCAUUGUUGUCUUCCUAUCCUUCAAUAAAAAAAUUAAGAUUGCUUUCAGGUUUAAUUCAUACACUACCACUUGUUCAACUUGAUGAAUGUGACCCUUUUGUACUUUCUUUUACAUGAAUUCCAGUUGUUGAAGUUAUAGUAGUUUACCCUCUUGUUUUUUAUUUGCUUGCUUGUUUGGCUUGCAGUUACAAAGAGGCUUGCUUUAAACAUAUGCAAUGUCUUUCUGUAUUAGAAGAUUACCAUCAGCAAGGGAAAUUUGAUACAAAAUUGCGCUAUCUUUCAUUAUCUUUACUAAUCAUAAUCAUUGCUAAUAUUUGUCACUAAAUAUACACGUAGGUGCAAUAUACACGACAUGUAGCUUCCGAAGGGGUGAAAAAUUUGAGGAUCGGCAACACUUUUGAAUUGGACUUUGUUCAAUUCAAGAAUCUGUAUAUUUGAUUCACAUCUCCAGCUUUACAUGGUUUGCCUCGAGGUAACCUGCAAGAGAUAAGCUUAUUUAGUUACACUCAUUUCAUCUAGAACUGUAAAUUGGUAGAAUCGGAUGACAAAUAAUUUGUGAAGUCAAGGAAUUAGUGUCAUCGAAAAAGCAGAUUGGAUCAUCACUUCACUCUCAGUGGAAGACAGAAAAAAAGGAUAAGGUGCCUAAUUAGCAACUGCACUGUUUAGGACCACAACUUUAGUUAGCCAUGUUUCUUUAAAUGUGUUGUGGGGUUACUAUGGUCUCUUAUUGAGUGCAGCAAUAUCCGCUAUGCUUAAUUUGUGUAAGCCACCAGAAACAUGAAGAACGUAGCUUCAAAGACAUGUCUGUGUACCUGUAAUUUGCUGAGAAAUAAAUGAUGCAGAUCUUCCUUGUUGGUACUCCAUACUGUAGAGAUUCUGCAACUCAUCCUCCCAUGUUACGUGCUGAAUUUGCUGUUUAUGUGUAGUUGCUUUGUCAAACAUCUUGAGAUGUAUGCCUUUUAACCAUUUUAAGUAAGAAAUUUAAUCAACUUACAUUCAAACUGGAUGGAUCAAGAAAUGUUUGUGGGACUGUUACAGGGGCACUUAUGGUUCUCCUAAGCGUAGCAUCCAUUGGAUCCACAGCCAUUUCUAGACCCGAACCCGCAACUCCUUGUACUGGUGUAUUGAACUGCAGGUGGCAAUGAUCGAUCAUGCCGGUUGACGAGGCCUCGACUGCCGGAGCACAGGCAGGAAAAAUCUGCAGGGGAGAAUUGAAUUUUCAGUUGGUGGCAUAAGCAUAAACAGAUUGUAUUUGACAAAUAUAUCUCUUUAUGUCACUUAUUGAAUGAAGCCUCUGUUAUUAAUAAUAAUAUUACCUCUUUAAGUAGAUAGUUUUCGAUGUCAAAAUCCAGCCUUGGAUUGAUUGCAGCUAAUUUCAUUGACAAAAACUGGCAUAGAAAUGGAUCUCAUAAGCUUGGUAUUAUGAUGAUGAUGAUUGCAAGAAAAUGGUGUUUUAUCUUAUAUACCUCUACUUGUCUUUGCAGGGAUUGCACAUAGUUGAUGAUCUCGUCGAGCAUACCGGCUUUCCCGGUGACCUUGUUGCACCCGGGGACCAAAUCUUGCAGGUAUUUCAUCCUCUCACUUAUUUUCUCGCGUCGAACCUGCAACCAUCAGAGCCAUAAAUCAGAACAAAUAUUCACAUGAUGAAAUCAAGGUGUCAUCCAACAUAGGGAAUGGCUUAUUUUUUCUUACUCUUUCAGCCAAGCUAUGGCUGUCAGUUGCCUGGCCGCGACGCGCCCGGACGUGGAUGUAAUCGGUCUUGGGCGCGUCGGCGACCUUCUUCGCAUUAGCAGAUGACAUUCCUUUGCUGUUCUUGUUAGCUGAAGUGCUAAUGGUGGUGGUGGUGCUUUUGCUGUUGCUGUUUUGCUCUGUCAUCUUAGAUUCCUCCUCUGCGCAUCCCUUCAUCUUUUUCUCCUCUGCAGCUAUCUGAAUACAGCAAAAAACACAUUCUUGAUCAACAAAUCUUCAUUUUGGUGCGUGUGUUGGUCUACUGGUAGAGUGAUUAAUGUUCGAGUCCACGCCUUCUUUUUUUUCAUUGAUUGAAAAGAAUCUUCAUGCUGCAUAUAAUUCAAAUAGGAAACAGAGCUAUAAUACCUUGAGGUUGUGGCUUUUGUCAGCCUUCCUCUUCUUGCAGCUCUCUUUCCCGGCGGCCGAGUCGACGCUGGCCGCCACAUUGGGCGGGCAGCUGACAGUUCUAGGGAGAUUGCAGCUCAUUUCCAAGUCCCCACCGUUGCCAUAAUUCAGAAACCUCCGGAAGUCGUCGUUUUCGAUGCCGGGGUCCGG
This 2292-nucleotide long non-coding RNA is filed under the name Salvia miltiorrhiza (redroot sage). Its description in RNAcentral is "long non-coding RNA (SMIL_LNC012283)". The record is from RNAcentral. Lineage: Eukaryota; Viridiplantae; Streptophyta; Magnoliopsida; Lamiales; Lamiaceae.